GUACUUGCUUCAGGAGCACAUAUGCUAAAAUUGGAACGAUACAGAAGAUUAGCAUGACCUCUGUGCAAGGAUGACACGAAUUCGUGAAGCAUUCCAUAUUUUA
Small nuclear RNA from Capra hircus (goat), 103 nucleotides. The record is from Ensembl. NCBI's taxonomy places the organism in Eukaryota, Metazoa, Chordata, Mammalia, Artiodactyla, Bovidae.